CAGUCGCCGCGGGAAUACGAAGGGGGCUAGCGUUGUUCGGAUUUACUGGGCGUAAAGCGCACGUAGGCGGAUCGAUCAGUCAGGGGUGAAAUCCCAGAGCUCAACUCUGGAACUGCCUUUGAUACUGUCGAUCUGGAGUAUGGAAGAGGUGAGUGGAAUUCCGAGUGUAGAGGUGAAGUUCGUAGAUAUUCGGAGGAACACCAGUGGCGAAGGCGGCUCACUGGUCCAUUACUGACGCUGGGGUGCGAAAGCGUGGGAGCAAACAGGAUUAGAUACCCCAGUAGUCCCUGUCUCUUAUACA
RNAcentral lists this ribosomal RNA (301 nucleotides) under uncultured bacterium. RNAcentral's name for it is "partial 16S ribosomal RNA". It matches the Rfam family "Bacterial small subunit ribosomal RNA", at positions 509 to 808 of the family's 1533-position model. The record is from RNAcentral.